UCCUACGGGAGGCAGCAGUAGGGAAUAUUGCGCAAUGGGGGAAACCCUGACGCAGCAACGCCGCGUGGAGGAUGACACUUUUCGGAGCGUAAACUCCUUUUCUUAGGGAAGAAUUCUGACGGUACCUAAGGAAUAAGCACCGGCUAACUCCGUGCCAGCAGCCGCGGUAAUACGGAGGGUGCAAGCGUUACUCGGAAUCACUGGGCGUAAAGGGCGCGUAGGCGGAUUAUCAAGUCUCUUGUGAAAUCUAAUGGCUUAACCAUUAAACUGCUUGGGAAACUGAUAGUCUAGAGUGAGGGAGAGGCAGAUGGAAUUGGUGGUGUAGGGGUAAAAUCCGUAGAUAUCACCAAGAAUACCCAUUGCGAAGGCGAUCUGCUGGAACUCAACUGACGCUAAGGCGCGAAAGCGUGGGGAGCAAACAGGAUUAGAUACCCUGGUAGUCCACGCCCUAAACGUUGUACACUAGUUGUUGGGGUGCUAGUCAUCUCAGUAAUGCAGCUAACGCAUUAAGUGUACCGCCUGGGGAGUACGGUCGCAAGAUUAAAACUCAAAGGAAUAGACGGGGACCCGCACAAGCGGUGGAGCAUGUGGUUUAAUUCGAAGAUACGCGAAGAACCUUACCUGGGCUUGAUAUCCUAAGAACCUUUUAGAGAUAAGAGGGUGCUAGCUUGCUAGAACUUAGAGACAGGUGCUGCACGGCUGUCGUCAGCUCGUGUCGUGAGAUGUUGGGUUAAGUCCCGCAACGAGCGCAACCCACGUAUUUAGUUGCUAACGGUUCGGCCGAGCACUCUAAAUAGACUGCCUUCGUAAGGAGGAGGAAGGUGUGGACGACGUCAAGUCAUCAUGGCCCUUAUGCCCAGGGCGACACACGUGCUACAAUGGCAUAUACAAUGAGACGCAAUACCGCGAGGUGGAGCAAAUCUAUAAAAUAUGUCCCAGUUCGGAUUGUUCUCUGCAACUCGAGAGCAUGAAGCCGGAAUCGCUAGUAAUCGUAGAUCAGCCAUGCUACGGUGAAUACGUUCCCGGGUCUUGUACUCACCGCCCGUCACACCAUGGGAGUUGAUUUCACUCGAAGCCGGAAUACUAAACUAGUUACCGUCCACAG
This 1105-nucleotide ribosomal RNA is filed under the name Campylobacter jejuni. RNAcentral's name for it is "bacterial SSU rRNA". It matches the Rfam family "Bacterial small subunit ribosomal RNA", at positions 337 to 1462 of the family's 1533-position model. The record is from RNAcentral. Lineage: Bacteria; Pseudomonadati; Campylobacterota; Epsilonproteobacteria; Campylobacterales; Campylobacteraceae.